UACGAAGGGGGCUAGCGUUGUUCGGAAUCACUGGGCGUAAAGCGCACGCAGGCGGAUCGUUAAGUCAGGGGUGAAAUCCCGAGGCUCAACCUCGGAACUGCCUUUGAUACUGGCGAUCUUCGAGUCCGGGAGAGGUGAGUGGAACUCCGAGUGUAGAGGUGAAAUUCGUAGAUAUUCGGAAGAACACCAGCGGCGAAGGCGGCUCACUGGCCCGGUACUGACGCUCAGGUGCGAAAGCGUGGGGAGCAAACAGG
This 254-nucleotide ribosomal RNA is filed under the name uncultured bacterium. RNAcentral describes it as "partial 16S ribosomal RNA". It matches the Rfam family "Bacterial small subunit ribosomal RNA", at positions 524 to 776 of the family's 1533-position model. The record is from RNAcentral.